RNAcentral lists this unclassified non-coding RNA (200 nucleotides) under fungal sp. RNAcentral's name for it is "partial internal transcribed spacer 2". The record is from RNAcentral. Lineage: Eukaryota; Fungi.
UUAAGUUCAGCGGGUAUUCCUACCUGAUCCGAGGUCAAACUCAGGAGAGUCGGGGGUUUUACGGCGUGGCCGCGCUACGCUCCGGUGCGAGGUUGUGCUACUACGCAAGGGAGGCUGCAGCGAGACCGCCACUGUAUUUCGGGGGCGGCGCCAGCCAAGAGGCGGGUUGUGCCGGUCCCCAACACCGCGUUCCCAGAAGG